This 790-nucleotide ribosomal RNA is filed under the name Lepra subventosa. RNAcentral's name for it is "eukaryotic LSU rRNA". It matches the Rfam family "Eukaryotic large subunit ribosomal RNA", at positions 141 to 942 of the family's 3401-position model. The record is from RNAcentral. Lineage: Eukaryota; Fungi; Ascomycota; Lecanoromycetes; Pertusariales; Pertusariaceae.
AGUUGUAAUUUGUAGAGGGUGCUUCGGGCGCGGCGCCGGUCUAAGUCCCUUGGAACAGGGCGUCCUAGAGGGUGAGAAUCCCGUCUGCGGCCGGCCGCCUACCCCGUGUGAAGCCCCUUCGACGAGUCGAGUUGUUUGGGAAUGCAGCUCUAAAUGGGUGGUAAAUUUCAUCUAAAGCUAAAUACCGGCCAGAGACCGAUAGCGCACAAGUAGAGUGAUCGAAAGAUGAAAAGCACUUUGGAAAGAGAGUCAAACAGUACGUGAAAUUGUUGAAAGGGAAGCGCUUGCGACCAGACUUGCCCGCGGAGGAUCAACCUCCCUUCGGGGGGGUGCACUCCUUCGCGGUCAGGCCAGCAUCGGUUCGGGCGGUCGGAUAAAGGCCCUGGGAACGUGGCUCCUUUCGGGGAGUGUUAUAGCCCGGGGUGCAAUGCGGCCAGUCCGGACCGAGGACCGCGCUUCGGCUAGGAUGCUGGCGUAAUGGUCGUCAGCGACCCGUCUUGAAACACGGACCAAGGAGUCUAACAUCUAUGCGAGUGUUUGGGUGUCAAGCCCAGGCGCGGAAUGAAAAGUGAACGGAGGUGGGAACCCCUUUCGCGGGGGGCGCACCAUCGACCGAUCCUGAUGUCUUCGGAUGGAUUUGAGUAGGAGCAUGGCUGUUGGGACCCGAAAGAUGGUGAACUAUGCCUGAAUAGGGUGAAGCCAGAGGAAACUCUGGUGGAGGCUCGCAGCGGUUCUGACGUGCAAAUCGAUCGUCAAAUUUGGGUAUAGGGGCGAAAGACUAAUCGAACCA